CUCCUGCCGGAGGUGAGCCCUGUCAACCGACAGCCUGAUAUUUGGCGUCCGCAGAGUGAUAGUGCCUAGCCUCUGAAUCACUGCGUCGAUGGUCCGACGAGCAUUUCGGUAGAACUUGGACUGACUGAUGUCGGCAUUUAGGUGAAGCGUGAAGCGUUGCUCAGUCUGCCGCUUCCAUGCCAACAGGGCUUGCUCUGCCUUCCUCGCUCGAAUAGAGACGGGAAUUUCCAGAGCCAAGCCUUGCAUAAACGUGCGAAGGAAUCGCUUCUGUUGGGCGAUAUCCUUGAUGUUGAAACGAACAUUGCUCAGCGUGACUGGAGUGUUUGCCAGUCGCUCACUGAGCUUCUUGACCAUCGUUCCCAGGGUGUCCUGGGCGAUGUCCACAUUCUUGAGACGAAUCUGGGCAUUGGUAGCCAUUUUGAUCUUGGCUGCCAGGCUUCGACCAUCAAGGUCAACCCUCAUCGUCACUUUCUUGUUGGCCAGGCCAGCCACUUCGUUGAGGCGGUCUCUGACCUGUUCCAGGUUCUUCUUGAACGUCAGCAGGGGGCGGUUAUCCGCCCUCCACUGGAUCGUCCCGACGAGCUUUGUAAUCUCUUCAGUUGCCAUCUUGUUGCCUCAGCUUGGCGAUUUCUCGGGCGAUGUCUGCGGCUU
RNAcentral lists this non-coding RNA (651 nucleotides) under Pseudomonas phage PAK_P3. The record is from RNAcentral. Lineage: Duplodnaviria; Heunggongvirae; Uroviricota; Caudoviricetes; Vandenendeviridae.